This is a long non-coding RNA of Amphimedon queenslandica, 331 nucleotides long. RefSeq lists it as uncharacterized. Lineage: Eukaryota; Metazoa; Porifera; Demospongiae; Haplosclerida; Niphatidae. The record is from RefSeq and is a predicted model, not a curated record. The transcript is spliced from 2 exons.
UGUUAAUUGUACUACUACAGUUGAUCCUGAUACUAAUGACACUGUAACAUGUUCCUGUAAUCAUUUGACAAACUUUGCCUGCCUUGUGGAUAUUUCAUCUAGAACUGGUAGCUCUCCUUCACCACGUCCUGAUACUUUUGCAUUAAGAAUUGUAUCAUAUGUUGGUGUAUCUCUCUCACUAUUAGGACUAGUAGUAGCAAUACUAACAUUACUGUAUGAGAGUUUAAUGCAUCAGAGUAAAACUAAUAUACACUAUAUCAUUGUACAUCACACAGAUUACAUAACACCAACCACAUUGGUGCAACCAAAAAAAUUUACUAUAUAACACUAA